AGACCCGAAACCCGGUGAUCUAGCCAUGGGCAGGUUGAAGGUUGGGUAACACUAACUGGAGGACCGAACCGACUAAUGUUGAAAAAUUAGCGGAUGACCUGUGGCUGGGGGUGAAAGGCCAAUCAAACCGGGAGAUAGCUGGUUCUCCCCGAAAGCUAUUUAGGUAGCGCCUCGUGAAUUCAUCUCCGGGGGUAGAGCACUGUUUCGGCUAGGGGGCCAUCCCGGCUUACCAACCCGAUGCAAACUGCGAAUACCGGAGAAUGUUAUCACGGGAGACACACGGCGGGUGCUAACGUCCGUCGUGAAGAGGGAAACAACCCAGACCGCCAGCUAAGGUCCCAAAGUCAUGGUUAAGUGGGAAACGAUGUGGGAAGGCCCAGACAGCCAGGAUGUUGGCUUAGAAGCAGCCAUCAUUUAAAGAAAGCGUAAUAGCUCACUGGUCGAGUCGGCCUGCGCGGAAGAUGUAACGGGGCUAAACCAUGCACCGAAGCUGCGGCAGCGACACUCAGGUGUUGUUGGGUAGGGGAGCGUUCUGUAAGCCUGCGAAGGUGGCCUGUGAGGGUUGCUGGAGGUAUCAGAAGUGCGAAUGCUGACAU
RNAcentral lists this ribosomal RNA (596 nucleotides) under Salmonella enterica subsp. enterica serovar Infantis. RNAcentral's name for it is "partial 23S ribosomal RNA". It matches the Rfam family "Bacterial large subunit ribosomal RNA", at positions 711 to 1303 of the family's 2925-position model. The record is from RNAcentral. Lineage: Bacteria; Pseudomonadati; Pseudomonadota; Gammaproteobacteria; Enterobacterales; Enterobacteriaceae. RNAcentral also lists the same sequence under 1 other name.